RNAcentral lists this ribosomal RNA (433 nucleotides) under uncultured bacterium. RNAcentral describes it as "partial 16S ribosomal RNA". It matches the Rfam family "Bacterial small subunit ribosomal RNA", at positions 29 to 507 of the family's 1533-position model. The record is from RNAcentral.
AGCGAACGCUGGCGGCAGGCCUAACACAUGCAAGUCGAACGGACCCUUCGGGGUUAGUGGCGGACGGGUGAGUAACACGUGGGAACGUGCCUUUAGGACCGGAAUAGCUCCUGGAAACGGGUGGUAAUGCCGAAUGUGCCCUCCGGGGGAAAGAUUUAUCGCCUUUAGAGCGGCCCGCGUCUGGUUAGCUGGUUGGUGAGGUAACGGCUCAACAAGGCGACGAUCAGUAGCUGGUCUGAGAGGAUGACCAGCCACACUGGGACUGAGACACGGCCCAGACUCCUACGGGAGGCAGCAGUGGGGAAUCUUGCGCAAUGGGCGAAAGCCUGACGCAGCCAUGCCGCGUGAAUGAUGAAGGUCUUAGGAUUGUAAAAUUCUUUCACCGGGGACGAUAAUGACGGUACCCGGAGAAGAAGCCCCGGCUAACUUCGUG